This 421-nucleotide ribosomal RNA is filed under the name uncultured Glomus. RNAcentral describes it as "SSU rRNA". It matches the Rfam family "Eukaryotic small subunit ribosomal RNA", at positions 579 to 1008 of the family's 1831-position model. Lineage: Eukaryota; Fungi; Glomeromycota; Glomeromycetes; Glomerales; Glomeraceae. The record is from RNAcentral.
GUAUUCCGCUCCAUAGCGUAUAUUAAAGUUGUUGCAGUCAAAAGCUCGUAGUUGAAUUUCGGGGUUAGUAGGUUGGUCAUGCCUCUGGUAUGUACUGGUCUCACUGAUUCCUCCUUCCUGAUGAGCCGUAAUGCCAUUAAUUUGGUGUUGCGGGGAAUUUGGACUGUUACUUUGAAAAAAUUAGAGUGUUUAAAGCAAGCUAACGCUUGAAUACAUUAGCAUGGAAUAAUGAAAUAGGACGUUCGAUCCUAUUUUGUUGGUUUCUAGGAUUGACGUAAUGAUUAAUAGGGAUAGUUGGGGGCAUUAGUAUUCAAUUGUCAGAGGUGAAAUUCUUGGAUUUAUUGAANACUANCUACUGCGAAAGCAUUUGCCAAGGAUGUUUUUAUUAAUCAAAAGCGAAAGUUAGGGGAUCNANNACNAA